CGGAUACUUCCUCCGUCCAACAAAUGAUGUCUCAACUUUAACUAAAUUUGAAUGCUUAUAUACAUUAAGUCAUGUCUAGACACACCUAAAUUUUGACAAACUUAAGACAUCUUUUGUUGGACGGAGGGGGUACAUA
Non-coding RNA from Brachypodium distachyon (stiff brome), 136 nucleotides. The record is from Rfam. NCBI's taxonomy places the organism in Eukaryota, Viridiplantae, Streptophyta, Magnoliopsida, Poales, Poaceae.